RNAcentral lists this ribosomal RNA (208 nucleotides) under uncultured bacterium. RNAcentral describes it as "partial 16S ribosomal RNA". It matches the Rfam family "Bacterial small subunit ribosomal RNA", at positions 355 to 540 of the family's 1533-position model. The record is from RNAcentral.
UGGGGAAUAUUGGACAAUGGGCGAAAGCCUGAUCCAGCCAUGCCGCGUGUGUGAAGAAGGUCUUCGGAUUGUAAAGCACUUUAAGUUGGGAGGAAGGGCAGUAAAUUAAUACUUUGCUGUUUUGACGUUACCGACAGAAUAAGCACCGGCUAACUCUGUGCCAGCAGCCGCGGUAAUACAGAGGGAUGUCAAGCGAUUAAUCGGAAGU